RNAcentral lists this ribosomal RNA (1230 nucleotides) under Triticum aestivum (bread wheat). Its description in RNAcentral is "partial small subunit ribosomal RNA". The record is from RNAcentral. Lineage: Eukaryota; Viridiplantae; Streptophyta; Magnoliopsida; Poales; Poaceae.
AUGGCGGCGUACCUGAGCAUGGGCGAGGCGCACCGCCGCAUCGCCGACUACCUCUCCCGCUUGGACGACGCUAUCUCUCAGUCCGACGGCGCCGACCUCGCGUCUCUCCUCGCCAUCUCCUCGGCGCCCGCCUCCACCCCGCUCUCCGACGCGCUCGCCGCUUUUCCGGAUUUUCCCCGCCUCGCCUCCGACCGCUUCCCCCACCUCUCCGACUUCCUCCCCCCGCUCCUCCGCGCCAUCCACUCCCACUCCCUCCGCCGCUUCGGGGACGCUUACUCCUCCUUCGAGAAGGCUGCUAGCGCGUUCCUGCAGGAGUUCCGGAACUGGGAGACUCCUUGGGCGAUGGAGGCGAUGCACAUGGUGGCGCUUGAGAUCAGGCUGCUAGCUGAGAAGGCAGACAGGGAGCUUGUGAUGAGCGGGAAGAACCCAGACAAGCUGCAGGCUGCUGGGUCCUUCCUGAUGAAGGUUUUUGGGGCACUUGCGGUUAAAGGACCUAAGCGCGUUGGGGCACUGUAUGUUACCUGCCAGCUGUUUAAAAUUUAUUUCAGGCUUGGUACUGUUAACCUUUGCCGUAGUGUCAUAAGGAGUAUCGAAACAGCUAGGAAUUUUGAUUUUGAAGAUUUUCCAGUGAAAGAUAAGGUCACUUAUAUGUAUUAUACAGGUCGCUUGGAGGUGUUUAAUGAGAAUUUUCUUGUUGCUGAUCAGAAACUAACUUAUGCUUUGAUGCAUUGUAAUCCUCAAAGCGAAUCAAAUUUGAGGAAAAUUUUGAAGUUCCUAAUCCCUGUAAAGCUGUCAAUUGGUGUAUUGCCAAGGAGGACCCUCCUGGAGAAGUACAAUCUGCUUGAGUAUGCAGAUAUUGUGACCUCACUUAGGAGAGGGGAUCUCAGGCUCCUUAAGCAAGCCCUUGAUAGACAUGAAGACCAGUUACUAAAAUGUGGUGUCUACCUUGUGUUGGAGAAACUUGAACUCCAGGUCUACCGAAGAUUAGUGAAGAAAAUCCAUAUCAUACAGAGGGAGAAGGAACCAUCGAAGGCGCAUCAAAUCAAGCUAGAUGUCUUGGUAAAGACUCUCCAAUGGCUUGGAAUCACCAUGGAUGUGGAUGAGGUGGAAUGCAUCAUGGCGUGCCUGAUAUACAAGAAUCUCAUAAAAGGAUACUUUGCCCACAAAAGCAAAGUUCUUGUCCUUAGCAAACAAGACCCCUUCCCAAAGUUGAACGGAAAGCCCGUUUAG